This 449-nucleotide ribosomal RNA is filed under the name uncultured bacterium. Its description in RNAcentral is "bacterial SSU rRNA". It matches the Rfam family "Bacterial small subunit ribosomal RNA", at positions 329 to 794 of the family's 1533-position model. The record is from RNAcentral.
ACCCAGACUCCUACGGGAGGCAGCAGUGGGGGAUAUUGCACAAUGGGGGGAACCCUGAUGCAGCGACGCCGCGUGGGUGAAGAAGCGCCUCGGCGCGUAGAGCCCUGUCAGCGGGGAAGAAAAUGACGGUACCUGAAGAAGAAGCCCCGGCUAACUACGUGCCAGCAGCCGCGGUAAUACGUAGGGGGCAAGCGUUAUCCGGAUUUACUGGGUGUAAAGGGAGCGUAGACGGCCAUGCAAGCCUGGAGUGAAAGCCCGGGGCCCAACCCCGGGACUGCUCCGGGAACUGUGCGGCUGGAGUGCGGGAGGGGCAGGCGGAAUUCCUGGUGUAGCGGUGAAAUGCGUAGAUAUCAGGAGGAACACCGGCGGCGAAGGCGGCCUGCUGGACCGCGACUGACGUUGAGGCUCGAAAGCGUGGGGAGCAAACAGGAUUAGAUACCCGCGUAAAU